RNAcentral lists this non-coding RNA (248 nucleotides) under uncultured Clostridium sp. RNAcentral describes it as "glmS glucosamine-6-phosphate activated ribozyme". It matches the Rfam family "glmS glucosamine-6-phosphate activated ribozyme aptamer", at positions 7 to 147 of the family's 167-position model. Rfam says of the family: This entry contains a glucosamine-6-phosphate activated ribozyme that is found in the mRNA for GlmS. GlmS is an enzyme that uses fructose-6-phosphate and glutamine to generate glucosamine-6-phosphate. The record is from RNAcentral. Lineage: Bacteria; Bacillati; Bacillota; Clostridia; Eubacteriales; Clostridiaceae.
UCAUAAAAGCGCCAGAACUUAAGUAAAAGUAAACUUAGUCUAUUUUGAGUAAUUUCGCCUAACCAAAUCAAAGAUUUUGGUUAAAAGGAAACUCAGCUAACGCUGAGUAAGUUCGCCUAACCAAAUCAAAGAUUUGGAGGCUCACUUAAGUUGACGAGGAUGGGGAGAAUCGAAUUCUUCGGCGGGUGCCCCACGGUAUCGCACUACCGUUAACGACUAGUAAAACUAUGAAGUGAUUCAUAGGACAA